This 315-nucleotide unclassified non-coding RNA is filed under the name Labidocera japonica. Its description in RNAcentral is "partial contains 5.8S rRNA, ITS2 and 28S rRNA". The record is from RNAcentral. Lineage: Eukaryota; Metazoa; Arthropoda; Copepoda; Calanoida; Pontellidae.
AUCGACACUUUGAACGCACAUUGCAGGCCUGUGCUUGUAACAGGCCUACCCUUGUGUCAGGGUCGGUUGAACACCAUCCAUCAGAGUGGCUCGCGCCGCUCUGCAUUGUCCGUGCGGAGAGCUUCGUCUCCCCGACGGACUAAGGUGUGCCCGGUCGGCUCGACUUGCGCCUCACAACUCUUGGGACUCAACUCCCGGGUUGUCGGACGGUCGGUUGGCAAAAUGUGGGUACAGACAUGGGAGGCGCACACUCGCCUGCGUCGUCUCCGUUUUUUUGUCACUUUUUAAAUCUUUCGACCUGACAUCAAGGGAGGC